CUUACCAGCUGCACACCCCGGUCUCUGGACCCUUCCCCCCUGCUGACCAGAGUGCGGCGAUCAGCCAUGCUUUAUGUCCAGCAGAGAGCGCUUCGUCUCUGUCCUCAGCAGGUGAGGAGCCUCCUACCAUGACCUCAGCCUCCUCCCCUGGGGAUGUUGAGGCCUGAGCACCUGCUGGCCUGGCCAGUCCCAGGGCUCAGCUUCCCGCCAAGCCCUCCCCAGGCGUCCCUCGUGCUGAGCAGCGGGAGUGUGCGGUGCAGCAGAAGGGAGAAGAAGAAAUUCCAAGGAAAGAAGAAAUAUGGACAAGCAAAUAUGCUUAUGGUCAUUCGAAGCCAGAUGGUUUAGCAUGCUUGAUUGCUAUUGCUGUCUCCUCAGAGCUCUGUCAUUGCAAGUCAAGCUUCAGGAGAUUCUGCUGCAUGGAAGGAGGGUGGAGCAGCAAAGGGUGUUGGAAAUCCAUGGACACUUUGAACUCUACUCCAACUGUUUCAUCUUCACCUUGACCUGGACACAGAGCCUCUGAGCCAAGGCGACUCAGCCAGGAUCUCACUAUAAUUCAGGUUUGCCUUGAAUUGUCUAUGAAGACCAGGCUAACCUCGAUCUCACAGUAAUCUUCCCACCUCAGCCUCCUCAGUGAUAUUUGUCUCUCUUUAUGGUUGGUGUUACAGAAGAUGAUGAGGAAGAGCCUGAUGAGGAAAAUGAUGACACUGUGUUUAGAAAACAUGAGGAAGAGAUGAGUGAGGAAGAUGAGCAGGAAAUUGAUGCAGUUGUACAUCUGGGAAGUGAACUGGGAGAAACAUUUGAAACAGAUCAGAAUUAUUUACAAAUGAU
Molecule: non-coding RNA, 828 nt
Organism: Heterocephalus glaber (naked mole-rat)
Lineage: Eukaryota; Metazoa; Chordata; Mammalia; Rodentia; Bathyergidae
Source: RefSeq, a predicted model, not a curated record